GAUCAUGGCUCAGGAUGAACGCUAGCUACAGGCUUAACACAUGCAAGUCGGAGGGGCAGCAUGGUCUUAGCUUGCUAAGGCUGAUGGCGACCGGCGCACGGGUGAGUAACACGUAUCCAACCUGCCGUCUACUCUUGGCCAGCCUUCUGAAAGGAAGAUUAAUCCAGGAUGGCAUCAUUGAGUUCACAUGUCCGCAUGAUUAAAGGUAUUUUCCGGUAGACGUAG
Molecule: ribosomal RNA, 225 nt
Filed under: uncultured bacterium
Lineage: Bacteria
Description: partial 16S ribosomal RNA
Rfam family: Bacterial small subunit ribosomal RNA
Source: RNAcentral